AUCCAUCUGACGAGUCCCAAUAGGACCAAACGCGCGUCAGACUGGAU
Molecule: non-coding RNA, 47 nt
Filed under: Schistosoma mansoni
Lineage: Eukaryota; Metazoa; Platyhelminthes; Trematoda; Strigeidida; Schistosomatidae
Source: RNAcentral